CUGUGAUGUUUAUAGCGUUACACGAGGAAGAAGAAAUAAUAUUUAAAAAAGGUAACUUGAUUUUUGAAGAAAUACUGUAGAAGACAUUUUUAUAAAGCUGUUGUUUGAUCAGACAUUGUCAAAGCAAUUUUUGAAGAAAUACUGUAGAAGACAUUUUUAUAAAGCUGUUGUUUGAUCAGACAUUGUCAAAGCAAUUUUUGAAGAAGUACUGUAGAAGACAUUGUCAAAGCACAUUUGGAAUUAAGCCUAGUUGGUUCACAUCCAUAGCUGGUUUCUAUACUUUACCAAUAGAGUGAUGCCACGUAAAUCAAAUAAGAGCAAAGCCUCCAAAGCCAAAGAACAAAAACUAAGAAUGAGAGAAAGAAGGUUGGCAGAGGAGGCUUUGCAACAGUCUACUGAUAUUGAUAAAAUUGAAGGAGAAAGCACUGAGAAUGGUUAUCCUGAAGGAGAAAACACUGUUGAUGAAUUUACUGUCAAUAAAAUUGAAAGAAAUGACACUGUUAAUGAUUUGACUGUUAACUCUGUUGUCAAUAAAAUAAAUCACACUGAUAAUGAAUUGACUGUUAACUCUGUUGUCAAUAAAAGAAAUCACACUGAUAAUGAAUUGACUGUUAACUCUGUUGUCAAU
This is a long non-coding RNA of Mytilus trossulus (common blue mussel), 628 nucleotides long. RefSeq lists it as uncharacterized. The record is from RefSeq and is a predicted model, not a curated record. Lineage: Eukaryota; Metazoa; Mollusca; Bivalvia; Mytilida; Mytilidae. The transcript has 6 exons.